UGGUAUGCACUGGCUUUGCUGAUUCCUCCUUCUUGUAGAACCGUAAUGCCAUUAAGUUGGUGUUGCGGGGAAACAGGACUGUUACUUUGAAAAAAUUAGAGUGUUUAAAGCAGGCUAACGCUUGAAUACAUUAGCAUGGAAUAAUGAAAUAGGACGACGAUCCUAUUUUGUUGGUUUCUAGGAUUGACGUAAUGAUUAAUAGGGAUAGUUGGGGGCAUUAGUAUUCAAUUGUCAGAGGUGAAAUUCUUGGAUUUAUUGAAGACUAACUACUGCGAAAGCAUUUGCCAAGGAUGUUUUCAUUAAUCAAGAACGAAAGUUAGGGGAUCGAAGACGAUCAGAUACCGUCGUAGUCUUAACCAUAAACUAUGCCGACUAGGGAUCGGAUGAUGUUAAUUUUAUAAUGACUCAUUCGGCGCCUUACG
RNAcentral lists this ribosomal RNA (422 nucleotides) under uncultured Glomeromycotina. RNAcentral describes it as "SSU rRNA". It matches the Rfam family "Eukaryotic small subunit ribosomal RNA", at positions 671 to 1092 of the family's 1831-position model. The record is from RNAcentral. Lineage: Eukaryota; Fungi; Glomeromycota.